AGCGGUGGAGGCAUGUGGUUUAAUUCGAAGCAACGCGAAGAACCUUACCAAGUCUUGACAUCCCGAUGACAGAGUAUGUAAUGUACUUUCUCUUCGGAGCAUCGGUGACAGGUGGUGCAUGGUUGUCGUCAGCUCGUGUCGUGAGAUGUUGGGUUAAGUCCCGCAACGAGCGCAACCCCUGUCCUUAGUAGCCAGCGGUCCGGCCGGGCACUCUAGGGAGACUGCCAGGGAUAACCUGGA
This 240-nucleotide ribosomal RNA is filed under the name uncultured bacterium. RNAcentral's name for it is "partial 16S ribosomal RNA". It matches the Rfam family "Bacterial small subunit ribosomal RNA", at positions 928 to 1167 of the family's 1533-position model. The record is from RNAcentral.